RNAcentral lists this ribosomal RNA (46 nucleotides) under ascomycete sp. ZGZII04040. Its description in RNAcentral is "partial 28S ribosomal RNA". The record is from RNAcentral. Lineage: Eukaryota; Fungi; Ascomycota.
UUGACCUCGGAUCAGGUAGGGAUACCCGCUGAACUUAAGCAUAUAG